This is a long non-coding RNA of Herpailurus yagouaroundi (jaguarundi), 3225 nucleotides long. RefSeq lists it as uncharacterized. The record is from RefSeq and is a predicted model, not a curated record. Lineage: Eukaryota; Metazoa; Chordata; Mammalia; Carnivora; Felidae. The transcript is spliced from 2 exons.
CAGAGCUGAAGUCAGACACUUAACUGACUGAGCCACCCAGGCACCCCAGAUAAUUUUUCAUCUUUGAUUCCUUAGAUCUUCUACCAAAUUGUGGCCAUCAAAAGACUGUAUAUUGGUGCCAAAUUUGGAAAGUGGUUCAAGAUCAUUUUUUAAAUGGUUCUGUUUUUCUACUGAAGAUGUCUCACUUGUCUUUGAACUUAUCUAAUGUGUUACCAGUCAUUUCCACAAUGUUCAUGUUCAGGAAAACUUUAGAUCUGUCUGUGCUUGGGUCACUUUUUUCAUGGCCUUUUGGAAUGAUGAAAAGGACCCUGAUGCAUGUUUUCACUUUACGAAUUUAUGUUGUUUGGAUUUUCAUGAACAGACUUGCACACUAUACAUUUUACUUUUGGUUCACAUGUGCGACAGAUUAUAAAAUAAAUAGCAAAAUAUUCCCUGAAAGUUGACAGGAAGCCACAUCUUCAUGAAAAAUUCAUCUUUGCUUGAAACCAGAAUUACAGAUUAUUUCCAGGGCCCCAUCCAGAUAAACUCUUAACACCCUCGUUUUACAGAAGAGGGCACAGGCUCAGAGGAGACAUUUGUUUCCACUAAUUUGUAAGUUGUGCCUUUCCCUCAGGACUCACUUUCCUUUUCUGAGAAGUGAGUGGAUCAGGGCAACUCACUUACCUUGGGGGCCAGUGGGCGAGAAGUGUGCUGACAAAUGCCCCUGAGCCUGGCAUCCUCCCUCCCCCAUUCACCAGCUCAGCUCAGCUCUGGCUACUUUCUGCCUUGGGCUUCUAGUAAGGUUUUUGUCUGUGAGGGAAGGUAGAGGCUGACGGGAGGAGGAGCUGAUGGCAACUGAAAACCCCUGCUUCAUACACUUGCCAAACCUCAGGGUGCCCGGGAUUGGUGCUCAGCCUGACUUGUUGAGUUCCUAAGUUCUCUUCUGUUUCUAAAUUUGCAUCGGUCUCCCAGAGCCAGGAUGAGGAUGCACUUCUUGAUUCCGGACUAGAGUCCCUAACGUGGAUCCGUUGCUCUAGUUACAUCAGGAAGUAGAGGGAUCCAAGUUGGGGGUGUCUCCUAGACUAAGAAGCCAUUGUCACCACCUCACUUUGGCCUUGAUUUUCAACAGUAAUAGAGCCACGUGCCCAGAACUCAUGCCACUACAGGAGGUGUUUUCUGUUCAUAGGGGUCUGAAUGCUUGUACAUGACGUCCUUAGCCUCUCUGAGUUUCCCCUUCCUUCUUUGUAGAAAUAAGGGUUAGCCUGGGUCCUCGGGCUGUGUGUAAGGCCCUCAGCCCAGUGCCUGUUCCCCAGGAAAUGUGCACAAAAUGGUAGAUAUUGGCAAUAUGCAUUGAAAUCCUCUAAAAAUGUGUUAUACCUUUGACUCAGCAAUGCUAUGAAUUGACAUUUAUCUAAGGAGGUAAUGCAAUGCAAAGGUAUCCAGGCAGCCCUAGAACAAAGUGUCUUCCAGUAGGGAAUUUUAGUGUUGUGGUAUAUUCAGUGGAAUGUCAUGUAGUCAUUUAAAGUGACAGAUAAUUAUAUUUGACAUAGACAACCAUAAAUGAAAAAACUCAUCCCCAAAAUUGUAUGUGAAGUGUAGUCUGCUUGUGUGUAUGUGUGUGUGUGUGUGUGUGUGUGUGUGUGUGUGUAUAUAUAUACACACACAUGCAUGUGUACACGUGUGCAGAGAAAAGGCUUGGAAGGAUAUAGACCACAUGUUUAGAAUGGUCAGGCUAGGCAGGACUGUAAGCGAUCGUGUUUCUAUUUUCUGGUUACUUUCAAUGGGUGUGCAUUCUCUUCUAUAAUUAUAUUAAAAUAAAUCAAGAAAAAACCUUCUCCCUAUCCCUAACCUCCUCUUUUCACUCUCUCAUUCUUUCUUAUCCCAAACGUGAAAGUCUCUGUGGCCUUUCCAUUUCAGAAGCCCCCCCCCCCACCUCCUCCAGGUUAUGUUGUUUCCAGUUUUCAAGUCCCCAGCCCCUAGUACCCUGACUCUCCAUCUUUGGUUUCUGGCCUGCCAGACACCUGUUAGGCACUUUAAUUCACUUCCCCUAUUAAAACUCAGAACACCCCCGUGGAUUAGUUCACUGUCUUCCAUUUUACUGAAUGAGAAACAGAGAUAUAAAGAAGCUAGCUUCCUCCCUUCCCUUUCCUUACCCCAACUCCUAUGGAUCCUUCAAAACCAGGUACCUGUGACAUCUCCUUCUGAUGGCACACCUGCCAGCAGUCAGCCGUGUUACCCUCGGCUCCCCGACACCUCUGUGACCACACUGCCUUGGUGAUAUGUGUGCAGGCCUGUCUUCCCCCUGCACACUGUGAGCUCCCUAAGAGCAGGGACUGUCUUAUUCUUUUCUGUACCCAUGCAUCCGGCAUAGUUCUUGGCACACAGUAGGGGUUCUGGAGACAUCAUUUGAAAAGCUGUAACUCUUUAAUAGAUGUGAGAUUUGCCAGAUAGAAACAGGAUGAGUGGGUGUGGGAUGGAAAAAUGCAAUGAGAAAAAAUAACUAAUAGUUGGGAUGUGGUCAGAUUCCCAUUAUGUAAGGAGGGCCCUAUAUGGGUGGGGUGAGCCAUCUUUUUAAUUAAUUUUUUUUUUUAUUUUUGUGAGAGGGACAUUAAAUAGCUGUGGUCUUCCUAAUGCACAAGUGAGGAAAACAGCAAGAAUAUCGAUGUGAAGUGUCAAAGUAAAACACUAAAUAAUCUAUGCUCACAACUCUGAGCUGGUACAGACAUGUCAAAGUCCUGUAAGAAUUUAGAAAAUUCACUCUGUUUUUAAACAUAUUAAACAAUAUGUUUUAAAGAACGCAUCAGUAAAAAACUAAUGUGCUGUUUGUGGCAAUAAAGAAUGCAGUGUCUCAGCAGAAGUAAUAGCAUAAUAAUUGCAUAUUCAGGUAUACUUUUUUUUAAGAUUUUAUUUUUAAGUAAUCUCUCCACCUAAUGUAGGGCUCUAGCUUACAUCAAGAGUGGCCCGCUCCACCGACUGAGCCAGCCAGGUGCCUCUCAUGUAGUACUUUAUAGUUAAACCAGUAUUUUUUAUGGGCUGAGUUUUCACAGAGACUUUUAACUUGUUCACACAUUUGUUCUUCUAUCACAAAGAAAUGGGGCAACUACAUGAAACCAAGACUUCUUGGAGAAGUGGCUGAUUCGAAGGGAAAGAACCUGAGUCUGUAAUAAGAAGUGCUCAGGGAAAAAAAAAAAAAAGAGGUUAGAGAAGGACAGAGCCAAAGCAUAAGAAACUUUUAAAAACUGAGAA